ACUGUGCCUGGCCCAGAUAAUUCUUACAACACGAGAGCUCUUAGAUGAAAUGUUCAGCCUCCUUCCCUUCUCCAGCUAACUCAUUUUCCUGUGUCAGAGCUCAGCUAAGAAGUCAGUUUCCCUACAGGAAACCUCCCCACCCUCCACACUGCUGAGGGGACCACAUAAUUGCACUACCCUGCCCCACGCUUGCAUAUGUGGCUUAAGACAUUGGAAUCUUUACCUCCAGGACGAUAGGAGAAACUGCUUAAGUGAAAUCUUUCUGCCUAUUUUCCAGUGACUGUGUGAAUUGUACUGGAUGGAAUGGAGAGAAAGGGGUGGGAUCGUGGAGGGUACCUUUGUGGACAAGCAAGAAGAAAAAAGAGAGAUUCCCCAAAGGGGACAAAGGCAAUAAAGCUUGGUAAACCUGGGCAGGGUCCUGGGCCAGCAGAAGGAUCUCAGAGAUGGGACAAAGAGUGUUGAGGGGGCUGGACCCUUUUACAAGGUCUCCAGCCUGGCCAAAGGCUCCUGAUCCCCAAGAGAGGCCAGAAGGUGUCAGAGCUGCUGGCCGUAAAGGGAUCCUGUGGGCCAGGACAUCAGGUACCGCAGUAGAAACCAGAAUAGUGGUGUGAGAUGGUUGAAGGAUGCCUUCCUGACAUUCCAGGGCCGUGUACGGCUCAGCUCUGGGAGGCAGGAGCCCCAGCAGGACUGCGAUAGCAUUUUCUGUGUGUGGGAA
Molecule: long non-coding RNA, 715 nt
Organism: Cebus imitator (Panamanian white-faced capuchin)
Lineage: Eukaryota; Metazoa; Chordata; Mammalia; Primates; Cebidae
Exons: 3
Source: RefSeq, a predicted model, not a curated record